This 253-nucleotide ribosomal RNA is filed under the name uncultured bacterium. RNAcentral describes it as "partial 16S ribosomal RNA". It matches the Rfam family "Bacterial small subunit ribosomal RNA", at positions 524 to 776 of the family's 1533-position model. The record is from RNAcentral.
UACGGAGGAGGCAAGCGUUAUCCGGAAUUAUUGGGCGUAAAGCGUCCGCAGGUGGCACCUCAAGUCUGCUGUCAAAGACCGGGGCUUAACUUCGGAAAGGCAGUGGAAACUGAACAGCUAGAGUAUGGUAGGGGCAGAGGGAAUUCCUGGUGUAGCGGUGAAAUGCGUAGAGAUCAGGAAGAACAUCGGUGGCGAAGGCGCUCUGCUGGACCAUAACUGACACUCAGGGACGAAAGCUAGGGGAGCGAAUGGG